GCCAACUCUCUCAAGAAUAGACAUCCUAGCGCCUCAGAAUGGCCUUUGCAAUGCAAGGUUCAGCUCAGCCAUGGAGAAGUCAGGGAAGAUGGAUGUGGCUGAGGCUUUAGAGCUCAGUGAAAAGCUGUACCUGGAUAUGAGCAAAACCCUCGGAAGUCUGAUGAACAUCAAGAAUAUGUCAGGCCACGUGUCCAUGAAAUACCUCUCCCGCCAGGAGAGGGAGAAGGUCAACCAGCUUCGACAAAGGGACCUCGACCUGGUGUUUGAUAAGAUCACCCAACUCAAGAACCAGCUGGGGAGGAAAGAGGAGCUGUUGAGAGGAUAUGAAAAGGACGUUGAACAGCUCAGGCGGAGCAAAGUGUCCAUUGAGAUGUACCAGUCGCAGGUGGCAAAGCUGGAGGAUGAUAUCUACAAAGAGGCCGAAGAGAAGGCCCUGCUGAAGGAGGCCCUGGAGCGCAUGGAGCACCAGCUGUGCCAGGAGAAGAGGAUCAACAGGGCCAUCCGGCAGCAGAAGGAAAGUGUAGAGGAGCACGAACCGAGAAACGGAAAAGAAUCGACACCUUGCAACUGUGCCUUCAAAGAGAAAGACAGGCAGCCCCUGCCACCUGCCUGAAGUUUGAACAGAUGACCUAAGAGACAAGCACGUGUCCAACCCCGUCCAUCCAUUAAGAAUCUUGCUCUAUUGCUCAGGCUAGAGUGCAGUGGUACAAUUUCGGCUCACUGCAACCUCCACCUCCCAGGUUCAAGCGAUUCUCCUGCCUCAGCCUCCCGAGUAGCUGGGACUACAGGUUGGAACCAGAAAAGCCUCCCUAAAGAUGGACCAAGAAAGAGGGAUGCUGAGAAAAGAGACCUCCAGCAAGUCCAGCCAGAGCCUUUUGCAUUCUAAGCAAAGUGGAAAGUACUAGAGAAACCUCGUCCCACCAGGCCUCGUGUGAUCCUCUCUAGGAUGGGCCAUGUUGGACCAAUCUCGCUAAUGACAUGUAAGGAAAAGCCCCUGUGGAGGGCUUCCCUUCCAGCUUCUCGAGGUGAAAGCAUUCACCCUUGGUACCUUUGUCAUGUCUCCUCACUCCUGGAGCUCAGACCAGAAGCUGGAACAGCCACCUUGGGGAUCAGCAGACACCAGCAGCAGGCCAAAGGAUAGUGGAGUGGAGGGACGAGAAGGCCCGGGUGAGCCUUCUCUGAGAAUCACUGGGCUCUGAACCAUGAAUGAAAUGCCUACCUCUGUACUUCCUGUUGUAUAGGACAAAUAAAUCCCUAUCUAUUUAAG
This 1267-nucleotide small RNA is filed under the name Pongo abelii (Sumatran orangutan). RNAcentral describes it as "processed transcript". Lineage: Eukaryota; Metazoa; Chordata; Mammalia; Primates; Hominidae. The record is from RNAcentral.